Long non-coding RNA from Rosa chinensis, 193 nucleotides. RefSeq lists it as uncharacterized. Lineage: Eukaryota; Viridiplantae; Streptophyta; Magnoliopsida; Rosales; Rosaceae. The record is from RefSeq and is a predicted model, not a curated record. The transcript has 3 exons.
AUUCAUUGCGACCAAACCAGUAGAUUGGCUGGGUCAGAUCUAACUCCUUAUGACAAGCGAGAACAUGUGCAAGGGAAGCACAGUACAAUCACCUUCAGAUUAUCAUAUAUGACUUUUCACGACCAAGGUUGAAUAUUCCACCUCGUAUGCUACCACAGACAAGGCACCCAACUACUCUCUCUUCUCCAUUCUG